RNAcentral lists this ribosomal RNA (393 nucleotides) under uncultured bacterium. Its description in RNAcentral is "partial 16S ribosomal RNA". It matches the Rfam family "Bacterial small subunit ribosomal RNA", at positions 523 to 918 of the family's 1533-position model. The record is from RNAcentral.
AUACGGAGGAUGCGAGCGUUAUCCGGAUUUAUUGGGUUUAAAGGGAGCGUAGGUGGGAUAUUAAGUCAGCUGUGAAAGUUUGGGGCUCAACCUUAAAAUUGCAGUUGAUACUGGUUUCCUUGAGUACGGUACAGGUGGGCGGAAUUCGUGGUGUAGCGGUGAAAUGCUUAGAUAUCACGAAGAACUCCGAUCGCGAAGGCAGCUCACCGGGCCGGAACUGACACUGAUGCUCGAAAGUGCGGGUAUCAAACAGGAUUAGAUUCCCUGGUAGUCCGCACAGUAAACGAUGAAUACUCGCUGUUUGCGAUACACUGUAAGCGGCCAAGCGAAAGCGUUAAGUAUUCCACCUGGGGAGUACGCCGGCAACGGUGAAACUCAAAUGAAUUGACGGGG